UCGGGAAUUUUGGGCAAUGGGCGAAAGCCUGACCCAGCAACGCCGCGUGAAGGAUGAAGUAUUUCGGUAUGUAAACUUCGAAAGAAUAGGAAGAAUAAAUGACGGUACUAUUUAUAAGGUCCGGCUAACUACGUGCCAGCAGCCGCGGUAAUACGUAGGGACCAAGCGUUGUUCGGAUUUACUGGGCGUAAAGGGCGCGUAGGCGGCAAUUCAAGUCAUCUGUGAAAUCUCCGGGCUUAACUCGGAACGGUCAGAUGAUACUGCUUUGCUAGAGUGCAGAAGGGGCAAUCGGAAUUCUUGGUGUAGCGGUGAAAUGCGUAGAUAUCAAGAGGAACACCUGAGGUGAAGACGGGUUGCUGGGCUGACACUGACGCUGAGGCGCGAAAGCCAGGGGAGCAAACGGGAUUAGAUACCCGCGUAUUCCCUGAGCGGGCUGGCAAGGCGCAU
This 447-nucleotide ribosomal RNA is filed under the name uncultured bacterium. Its description in RNAcentral is "bacterial SSU rRNA". It matches the Rfam family "Bacterial small subunit ribosomal RNA", at positions 355 to 825 of the family's 1533-position model. The record is from RNAcentral.